GGGGAUGUAGCUCAGCUGGUAGAGUGCUUGCUUAGUAUGCACAAGGCCCUGGGUUCAAUACCCAGGACCACCA
This 73-nucleotide transfer RNA is filed under the name Urocitellus parryii (Arctic ground squirrel). RNAcentral describes it as "Spermophilus parryii (Arctic ground squirrel) tRNA". It matches the Rfam family "tRNA". From Rfam's summary of the family: Transfer RNA (tRNA) molecules are approximately 80 nucleotides in length. Their secondary structure includes four short double-helical elements and three loops (D, anti-codon, and T loops). Lineage: Eukaryota; Metazoa; Chordata; Mammalia; Rodentia; Sciuridae. RNAcentral also lists the same sequence under 1 other name. The record is from Rfam by way of RNAcentral.